GAUUAAGUUAUUAAGGGCGCACGGUGGAUGCCUUGGCACUAGAAGCCGAUGAAGGACGUUACUAACGACGAUAUGCUUUGGGGAGCUGUAAGUAAGCUUUGAUCCAGAGAUUUCCGAAUGGGGAAACCCAGCAUGAGUUAUGUCAUGUUAUCGAUAUGUGAAUACAUAGCAUAUCAGAAGGCACACCCGGAGAACUGAAACAUCUUAGUACCCGGAGGAAGAGAAAGAAAAUUCGAUUCCCUUAGUAGCGGCGAGCGAAACGGGAAGAGCCCAAACCAACAAGCUUGCUUGUUGGGGUUGUAGGACACUCUAUACGGAGUUACAAAGGACGACAUUAGACGAAUCAUCUGGAAAGAUGAAUCAAAGAAGGUAAUAAUCCUGUAGUCGAAAAUGUUGUCUCUCUUGAGUGGAUCCUGAGUACGACGGAGCACGUGAAAUUCCGUCGGAAUCUGGGAGGACCAUCUCCUAAGGCUAAAUACUCUCUAGUGACCGAUAGUGAACCAGUACCGUGAGGGAAAGGUGAAAAGCACCCCGGAAGGGGAGUGAAAUAGAACCUGAAACCGUGUGCUUACAAGUAGUCAGAGCCUGUUAAUGGGUGAUGGCGUGCCUUUUGUAGAAUGAACCGGCGAGUUACGAUUUGAUGCAAGGUUAAGCAGUAAAUGUGGAGCCGUAGCGAAAGCGAGUCUGAAUAGGGCGUUUAGUAUUUGGUCGUAGACCCGAAACCAGGUGAUCUACCCUUGGUCAGGUUGAAGUUCAGGUAACACUGAAUGGAGGACCGAACCGACUUACGUUGAAAAGUGAGCGGAUGAACUGAGGGUAGCGGAGAAAUUCCAAUCGAACCUGGAGAUAGCUGGUUCUCUCCGAAAUAGCUUUAGGGCUAGCCUCAAGUGAUGAUUAUUGGAGGUAGAGCACUGUUUGGACGAGGGGCCCCUCUCGGGUUACCGAAUUCAGACAAACUCCGAAUGCCAAUUAAUUUAACUUGGGAGUCAGAACAUGGGUGAUAAGGUCCGUGUUCGAAAGGGAAACAGCCCAGACCACCAGCUAAGGUCCCAAAAUAUAUGUUAAGUGGAAAAGGAUGUGGCGUUGCCCAGACAACUAGGAUGUUGGCUUAGAAGCAGCCAUCAUUUAAAGAGUGCGUAAUAGCUCACUAGUCGAGUGACACUGCGCCGAAAAUGUACCGGGGCUAAACAUAUUACCGAAGCUGUGGAUUGUCCUUUGGACAAUGGUAGGAGAGCGUUCUAAGGGCGUUGAAGCAUGAUCGUAAGGACAUGUGGAGCGCUUAGAAGUGAGAAUGCCGGUGUGAGUAGCGAAAGACGGGUGAGAAUCCCGUCCACCGAUUGACUAAGGUUUCCAGAGGAAGGCUCGUCCGCUCUGGGUUAGUCGGGUCCUAAGCUGAGGCCGACAGGCGUAGGCGAUGGAUAACAGGUUGAUAUUCCUGUACCACCUAUAAUCGUUUUAAUCGAUGGGGGGGACGCAGUAGGAUAGGCGAAGCGUGCGAUUGGAUUGCACGUCUAAGCAGUAAGGCUGAGUAUUAGGCAAAUCCGGUACUCAUUAAGGCUGAGCUGUGAUGGGGAGAAGACAUUGUGUCUUCGAGUCGUUGAUUUCACACUGCCGAGAAAAGCCUCUAGAUAGAAAAUAGGUGCCCGUACCGCAAACCGACACAGGUAGUCAAGAUGAGAAUUCUAAGGUGAGCGAGCGAACUCUCGUUAAGGAACUCGGCAAAAUGACCCCGUAACUUCGGGAGAAGGGGUGCUCUUUAGGGUUAACGCCCAGAAGAGCCGCAGUGAAUAGGCCCAAGCGACUGUUUAUCAAAAACACAGGUCUCUGCUAAACCGUAAGGUGAUGUAUAGGGGCUGACGCCUGCCCGGUGCUGGAAGGUUAAGAGGAGUGGUUAGCUUCUGCGAAGCUACGAAUCGAAGCCCCAGUAAACGGCGGCCGUAACUAUAACGGUCCUAAGGUAGCGAAAUUCCUUGUCGGGUAAGUUCCGACCCGCACGAAAGGCGUAACGAUUUGGGCACUGUCUCAACGAGAGACUCGGUGAAAUCAUAGUACCUGUGAAGAUGCAGGUUACCCGCGACAGGACGGAAAGACCCCGUGGAGCUUUACUGUAGCCUGAUAUUGAAAUUCGGCACAGCUUGUACAGGAUAGGUAGGAGCCUUUGAAACGUGAGCGCUAGCUUACGUGGAGGCGCUGGUGGGAUACUACCCUAGCUGUGUUGGCUUUCUAACCCGCACCACUUAUCGUGGUGGGAGACAGUGUCAGGCGGGCAGUUUGACUGGGGCGGUCGCCUCCUAAAAGGUAACGGAGGCGCUCAAAGGUUCCCUCAGAAUGGUUGGAAAUCAUUCAUAGAGUGUAAAGGCAUAAGGGAGCUUGACUGCGAGACCUACAAGUCGAGCAGGGUCGAAAGACGGACUUAGUGAUCCGGUGGUUCCGCAUGGAAGGGCCAUCGCUCAACGGAUAAAAGCUACCCCGGGGAUAACAGGCUUAUCUCCCCCAAGAGUUCACAUCGACGGGGAGGUUUGGCACCUCGAUGUCGGCUCAUCGCAUCCUGGGGCUGUAGUCGGUCCCAAGGGUUGGGCUGUUCGCCCAUUAAAGCGGUACGCGAGCUGGGUUCAGAACGUCGUGAGACAGUUCGGUCCCUAUCCGUCGUGGGCGUAGGAAAUUUGAGAGGAGCUGUCCUUAGUACGAGAGGACCGGGAUGGACAUACCUCUGGUGUACCAGUUGUCGUGCCAACGGCAUAGCUGGGUAGCUAUGUGUGGACGGGAUAAGUGCUGAAAGCAUCUAAGCAUGAAGCCCCCCUCAAGAUGAGAUUUCCCAACUUCGGUUAUAAGAUCCCUCAAAGAUGAUGAGGUUAAUAGGUUCGAGGUGGAAGCAUGGUGACAUGUGGAGCUGACGAAUACUAAUCGAUCGAAGACUUAAUCAA
RNAcentral lists this ribosomal RNA (2924 nucleotides) under Staphylococcus aureus. RNAcentral describes it as "23S ribosomal RNA". It matches the Rfam family "Bacterial large subunit ribosomal RNA". Lineage: Bacteria; Bacillati; Bacillota; Bacilli; Caryophanales; Staphylococcaceae. The record is from RNAcentral.